CCUACGGGAGGCAGCAGUGAGGAAUAUUGGUCAAUGGACGAGAGUCUGAACCAGCCAAGUAGCGUGAAGGAUGACUGCCCUAUGGGUUGUAAACUUCUUUUAUAUGGGAAUAAAACGUUCCACGUGUGGGAUUUUGUAUGUACCAUAUGAAUAAGGAUCGGCUAACUCCGUGCCAGCAGCCGCGGUAAUACGGAGGAUCCGAGCGUUAUCCGGAUUUAUUGGGGUUAAAGGGAGCGUAGGUGGAUUGUUAAGUCAGUUGUGAAAGUUUGCGGCUCAACCGUAAAAUUGCAGUUGAAACUGGCAGUCUUGAGUACAGUAGAGGUAGGCGGAAUUCGUGGUGUAGCGGUGAAAUGCAUAGAUAUCACGAAGAACUCCGAUUGCGAAGGCAGUUCACUGGACUGCAACUGACACUGAGGCUCGAAAGUGUGGGUAUCAAACAGGAUUAGAUACCCUUGUAGUC
This 460-nucleotide ribosomal RNA is filed under the name uncultured bacterium. RNAcentral describes it as "partial 16S ribosomal RNA". It matches the Rfam family "Bacterial small subunit ribosomal RNA", at positions 338 to 795 of the family's 1533-position model. The record is from RNAcentral.